GUGAGAUCCAAGAGAAAGGAAAAAAAUCUCUCUUCUCUUUCUCUCUCAAAAGUCAGAGAGAGAAACAUCACCAUCACCAACGAGAAGGAGCUGCCCAUUGAUUUAACAGUGAAAAAAUGGGAUGCUCGUUCUCGGGACUCAAUGCUUUGUAUGACAAUGCCAAUGGCGGAGGAGAUGUUUGGAUCAAUGAGAACCGUUUCAGGAUCCUUCGUCAAGCCACUUUUCCCAAUGUCUUCCUUGUCAAGGAGCUCAUUUCUGAUCCAAAUAAAAUCAAGGACCCUUCUCAUGUCUCUGAUGAUGGAACUUAUGCAA
This 312-nucleotide unclassified non-coding RNA is filed under the name Hevea brasiliensis (rubber tree). The record is from RNAcentral. Lineage: Eukaryota; Viridiplantae; Streptophyta; Magnoliopsida; Malpighiales; Euphorbiaceae.